GCGCCCUUAGCUCAGCUGGAUAGAGCAUAUCUCUUCUAAAGAUAGGGUCGGUGAGUUCGAAUCUCCCAGGGCGCG
RNAcentral lists this transfer RNA (75 nucleotides) under Vibrio phage 2.275.O._10N.286.54.E11. RNAcentral describes it as "tRNA-Arg". It matches the Rfam family "tRNA". Rfam says of the family: Transfer RNA (tRNA) molecules are approximately 80 nucleotides in length. Their secondary structure includes four short double-helical elements and three loops (D, anti-codon, and T loops). The record is from RNAcentral. Lineage: Duplodnaviria; Heunggongvirae; Uroviricota; Caudoviricetes.